GAUGAACGCUGGCGGCGUGCCUAAUACAUGCAAGUCGAACGCGCCGAGAAGGGAACUUGUUCCUUUCAACGCGAGUGGCGAACGGGUGAGUAACACGUGGGAAACCUACCCUUCAGCGGGGGAUAACCAUCGGAAACGAUGACUAAUACCGCAUAGUUGUUCCAGUCGCAUGACUGGAAUGGGAAAGACGGCUUCGGCUGUCACUGAAGGAUGGUCCCGCGGUGCAUUAGCUAGACGGUGGGGUAACGGCCUACCGUGGCUUUGAUGCAUAGCCGACCUGAGAGGGUGAUCGGCCACAUUGGGACUGAGACACGGCCCAAACUCCUACGGGAGGCAGCAGUAGGGAAUCUUCCGCAAUGGGCGCAAGUCUGACGGAGCAACGCCGCGUGUGUGAAGAAGGUCUUCGGAUCGUAAAGCACUGUUAUCAGGGAAGAAUAGCCUAUAGAGUAACUGUUAUAGGUUUGACGGUAACUGAUCAGAAAGCCACGGCUAACUACGUG
This 500-nucleotide ribosomal RNA is filed under the name uncultured bacterium. Its description in RNAcentral is "partial 16S ribosomal RNA". It matches the Rfam family "Bacterial small subunit ribosomal RNA", at positions 28 to 507 of the family's 1533-position model. The record is from RNAcentral.